AUCGCAGUAGUUUAUUAAAACCAUGAAUUGCAAGUUCAAACUUGUU
This 46-nucleotide transfer RNA is filed under the name Calisoga longitarsis. Its description in RNAcentral is "tRNA-Cys". Lineage: Eukaryota; Metazoa; Arthropoda; Arachnida; Araneae; Nemesiidae. The record is from RNAcentral.